RNAcentral lists this ribosomal RNA (254 nucleotides) under uncultured bacterium. RNAcentral's name for it is "partial 16S ribosomal RNA". It matches the Rfam family "Bacterial small subunit ribosomal RNA", at positions 524 to 776 of the family's 1533-position model. The record is from RNAcentral.
CACGUAGGGGGCGAGCGUUGUCCGGAUUUAUUGGGCGUAAAGAGCUCGUAGGCGGCUCAGUAAGUCGGGUGUGAAAUUUCAGGGCUCAACCCUGAAACGCCACCCGAUACUGCUGUGGCUAGAGUCCGGUAGGGGAGCGUGGAAUUCCUGGUGUAGCGGUGAAAUGCGCAGAUAUCUGGAGGAAUACCGGUGGCGAAGGCGGCAUCCUGGACCGGCAUUGACGCUGAGGAGCGAAAGCCAGGGGAGCAAACGGG